GAAUCUGCCAAUCACCCAGAACAAUGACACUGUACGUCAGAUGAAUAGUUGGACCAUCAUCAAGACCCCACAGUCAGUCAAGCUUAUUUCAGACCUACAAGGUCACAUUCAGGUGAAGAUCCCUGCCAUUUACCACCAGUCUACCUGUGGUCUUUGUGGAAACUACAAUGAUAAUCCCUAAGAUGACCUGCAGCUGCCCAAUGGCACUGUGAUCUCCGAUCCUGACAUUUUUGGGCCAUCUUGGAAGAAGUAGUCUCCUCACCGACCCAAGGGGACCAUUCUCCUCUUGUCACCAUUUAGUGGAUCCACAGAAUUACUACUCACUCAUGACAUGAAGAUACUUUGUCUUGCAAAGGGGCAGCACAGGGCCCUGUGUGAGACACUGUGGGUUUAUGAUGCAGCAUGUAAGGAAGCAGGAGGGGUGACUGACCUCUGGACAAGCACUACAGGCUGUGCGUAUCAAUGUCCUCAGUCUAGCCACUACAGCCAAUGUGCCAAUGUUUGCUCCUAAUUGUGCCCUGGGAUUAGCGUGGCAGUGCAGUGCCCCAGAGACUGUGAGGAAGGUUGCAUGUGUGACACUCAUCACUUUUUGGAUGGCCAUGCCUAUGAACCAGCUGAACAGUGGGGCUGUGUCCAGAACGGAACAAGGUUUAAGCUCAGAAUUCAACUUUGUUUCGUUACAUCAUCCUGUCUUACACCGUUAUAUGAAUUCAUAUUCAUAUUCAUAAUAUUCAGUCGAGUUAUGGGUUCUCCAUGACUUUCCUCUCUGGUAAGUGAUCCUCUCCACAACAAAAGUACUAUAUGGGUAUUCAAUGAUAUAUGUACUGUAUAUGACACGUAUUAAUUAUUUUCUGCUUCUUCCAAAGUCACGUCACUGGAUGAUAACUGAUUGAACAAACAAAGAGGGCACACCCUAAUCUAAAUACACAGGCCUCUGAGAGCAAACUUCUCCAAAACUGCACUGUUAAGUGCACCUGCGGGCCUCCUCUCGUCUGUGAGAAAUACUCCACUGCACAGUUGUACAGUUCUAGAUGGAAUCAUGGGAUGCCACAAGAAUGCGCAUAUCCCAGAUCCCUGUGAGGGAAAACAUGAUGAAACAGAGAAAUGCUCCCUGAGCGAGGG
Molecule: long non-coding RNA, 1122 nt
Organism: Limanda limanda (common dab)
Lineage: Eukaryota; Metazoa; Chordata; Actinopteri; Pleuronectiformes; Pleuronectidae
Exons: 4
Source: RefSeq, a predicted model, not a curated record